AGUCAUAUGCUUCUUUCAAGGACUAAGCCAUGCAAGCCUCAGAGUACAUGGAAUUAUAGUAGAUCUGUGAAUGGCUCAUUACAUCAGCAAUAAUCUACUUGGAGACGUUGGGGUUCAACCCCGCCUAUUGGAUAUCCACCCUAACUGGGUGGUUAAUACAUGGAAGCAAACCCCCUCCUCACCCUACGCGCGGCGGCGGGGUGACUCUUCGUCGCGCGGAGGCGGGGGGCAUUCAGCUGAUACCAAGACCGGCGCCUGUUAAAGGCAGCGUAUAUGGGUGAUUCAGGCUGUCCUGUCGCAAUAGCAGAGUGAUGUACAUCAUCGCUGCUUGUCCAGACGAACUUCUGACCUAUCAGCUUAGGACUGUGGUGUAGUGGACCACCGUGGCUAUAACGGGUAACGGAGAAUCAGGGUUUGAUACCGGAGAGGGAGCCUGAUAAACGGCUACCACUGCUAAGGUGGGCAGCAGGCACGCAAAUUGCCCAAUACCAGCACACCUGGUGAGGCAGCAACGAGCUGUAGCAAUCCUGCCCGUCUUCAUGACAGGCAGAAUUUGCAAUGGAUGCCAUAUCCAAACCCAGCAAUGAGUAUCAAC
Molecule: ribosomal RNA, 595 nt
Filed under: uncultured eukaryote
Lineage: Eukaryota
Description: partial 18S ribosomal RNA
Rfam family: Eukaryotic small subunit ribosomal RNA
Source: RNAcentral